GAUGAACGCUGGCGGCGUGCCUAAUACAUGCAAGUCGAGCGAACAGAUAAGGAGCUUGCUCCUUUGACGUUAGCGGCGGACGGGUGAGUAACACGUGGGUAACCUACCUAUAAGACUGGGAUAACUUCGGGAAACCGGAGCUAAUACCGGAUAAUAUUUCGAACCGCAUGGUUCGAUAGUGAAAGAUGGUUUUGCUAUCACUUAUAGAUGGACCCGCGCCGUAUUAGCUAGUUGGUAAGGUAACGGCUUACCAAGGCGACGAUACGUAGCCGACCUGAGAGGGUGAUCGGCCACACUGGAACUGAGACACGGUCCAGACUCCUACGGGAGGCAGCAGUAGGGAAUCUUCCGCAAUGGGCGAAAGCCGGACGGAGCAACGCCGCGUGAGUGAUGAAGGUCUUCGGAUCGUAAAACUCUGUUAUUAGGGAAGAACAUACGUGUAAGUAACUGUGCACGUCUUGACGGUACCUAAUCAGAAAGCCACGGCUAACUACGUG
RNAcentral lists this ribosomal RNA (497 nucleotides) under uncultured bacterium. RNAcentral's name for it is "partial 16S ribosomal RNA". It matches the Rfam family "Bacterial small subunit ribosomal RNA", at positions 28 to 507 of the family's 1533-position model. The record is from RNAcentral.